This 1087-nucleotide small RNA is filed under the name Cryptococcus neoformans H99. Its description in RNAcentral is "Cryptococcus neoformans var. grubii H99 hypothetical RNA". The record is from RNAcentral. Lineage: Eukaryota; Fungi; Basidiomycota; Tremellomycetes; Tremellales; Cryptococcaceae.
AUCUCCUCCUGAGACGGUGCCGCGAUGAUCAGGUCGUCGACAUAUGACAUGACUAGCGUCGGCUUCGAAUGUCUCGACUUUCACCGCACAUAAAGCCCCCAGUCGAAGUCGCAGGAUUUGAACCCUUGGGCUAUCAUCGCCUCUUUUAACUGAAUCCACCACACCCUUCCCGAUUGUUUCAACCCAUAUAAUGAUGCUUUUAACCUCAACACAUUACACCCUUCCUUCGGCUUGACUGCCUGAGGAUACCUCAUAUAGAUCUCCUCAUCAAGCCGACUGUUCAGAUAUGCACUUUUAACAUCGGCCUGAGCAAUGUCGAGGUUUUCUUUGGCGGUUAUAAUGAGUACUAGGCGAAAAGUGGAAAGCUGCGAGGUUGGAGCGAAACGGUCGACCUGGCUGUCCCUGUUCAACUUCUUCUUGAAGACCCACUUUACCCCAACUGCUUUCUUGCCUUUCGGAAGAUUGGUCUCCUCCCACACAUCUUUGUCCUUUAUGACCUUCAAUUCUUCAUCCAUGGCCCUCUGCCAAUCGAUCCAAUCGGCCGCCACCAAUGCCUCUUUUGCUGUCUUGGGAUCGUCGCCCUCAGCAGAUGUCACCUGAUUCAGGAUGUAAUCACUAGCCAAAUGACUCGGUAUUCUGGUGUCACGCUUUGAUCGUUGCUGAGGGUUUGUCGGUCGUGAUUGGAUGGUGUCUUUGUUGGAUGAAUGAUCGAAUGGCGUUUCUACUGGCAGAGCUAGCUGAUGCUUGUUGUGGACCUUGCUUUGCCCUUCCUGCUCCUCCCAAUCCUCUUCAUCAUCUUCGACAUUAUCACCCUUUAUAUCUGCAAACUUCACGACCUUUCUCAUUGUUGCCUCACUUGGUGGGACCGCCGCUACCUGCAUAGGCUUCCCUGGCAGCUCUUUGUCGAUGAUGAAUGGUGUAUCUGCUGCUGUAACCAAGUCUGAGGACCUUUCUAUUUUGUUGGUGUUCUCCAUCAACACAACCCAGCCCGUCUUCUCAAUAUCUAACCCCAAUAACUGUGCUUUCGUCGCCUUCGCCAUGUCAAAACUAUUCUUUGCUCAUACCUCCUUCGGGAUGUGAAUGAAGC